ACAGUCUCAGUUCGGAUUGAAGGCUGAAAUUCGCCUUCAUGAAGCCGGAAUUGCUAGUAAUGGCAGGUCAGCAUACUGCCGUGAAUACGUUCCCGGGCCUUGUACACACCGCCCGUCACACCAUGAGAGUUGGGGAUACCCGAAGCCUGUGAGCUAACUUUUAGAGGCAGCAGUCGAAGGUAGAAUCAAUGAUUGGGAUGAAGUCGUAACAAGGUAGC
Molecule: ribosomal RNA, 218 nt
Filed under: uncultured bacterium
Lineage: Bacteria
Description: partial 16S ribosomal RNA
Rfam family: Bacterial small subunit ribosomal RNA
Source: RNAcentral